This 253-nucleotide ribosomal RNA is filed under the name uncultured bacterium. Its description in RNAcentral is "partial 16S ribosomal RNA". It matches the Rfam family "Bacterial small subunit ribosomal RNA", at positions 524 to 776 of the family's 1533-position model. The record is from RNAcentral.
UACGGAGGGAGCUAGCGUUGUUCGGAAUUACUGGGCGUAAAGCGCGCGUAGGCGGCUUUGUAAGUUAGAGGUGAAAGCCCGGGGCUCAACCCCGGAAUUGCCUUUAAGACUGCAUCGCUUGAAUCCGGGAGAGGUGAGUGGAAUUCCGAGUGUAGAGGUGAAAUUCGUAGAUAUUCGGAGGAACACCGAUGGCGAAGGCGGGAUCCUGGGCCAGUACUGACGCUGAGGAGCGAAAGCGUGGGGAGCAAACAGG